RNAcentral lists this non-coding RNA (30 nucleotides) under Mus musculus (house mouse). The record is from RNAcentral. RNAcentral also lists the same sequence under 1 other name. Lineage: Eukaryota; Metazoa; Chordata; Mammalia; Rodentia; Muridae.
UAAAUCCAUGCCAUGUUGCAGAGAGUUCUC